Molecule: ribosomal RNA, 302 nt
Filed under: uncultured bacterium
Lineage: Bacteria
Description: partial 16S ribosomal RNA
Rfam family: Bacterial small subunit ribosomal RNA
Source: RNAcentral
GCAGUAGCCGCGGUAAUACGAAGGGUGCAAGCGUUACUCGGAAUUACUGGGCGUAAAGCGUGCGUAGGUGGUGGUUUAAGUCCGUUGUGAAAGCCCUGGGCUCAACCUGGGAAUUGCAGUGGAUACUGGGUCACUAGAGUGUGGUAGAGGAUAGUGAAAUUUCCGGUGUAGCAGUGAAAUGCGUAGAGAUCGGAAGGAACAUCUGUGGCGAAGGCGACUAUCUGGGCCAACACUGACACUGAGGCACGAAAGCGUGGGGAGCAAACAGGAUUAGAUACCCCAGUAGUCCCUGUCUCUUAUAA